Molecule: ribosomal RNA, 367 nt
Filed under: uncultured organism
Description: bacterial SSU rRNA
Rfam family: Bacterial small subunit ribosomal RNA
Source: RNAcentral
CGGAGGGUGCAAGCGUUAUCCGGAUUUACUGGGUUCAAAGGGUGCGCAGGCGGAUAUGUAAGUCAGUGGUGAAAUCUCCGGGCUUAACCCGGAAACUGCCGUUGAUACUAUAUAUCUUGAAUGCUGUGGAGGUAAGCAGAAUAUGUCAUGUAGCGGUGAAAUGCUUAGAGAUGACAUAGAAUACCUAUUGCGAAGGCAGCUUACUACGCAGAUAUUGACGCUCAUGCACGAAAGCGUGGGGAUCAAACAGGAUUAGAUACCCUGGUAGUCCACGCCCUAAACGAUGAUUACUCGACAUACGCGAUAUACAGUGUGUGUCUGAGCGAAAGCAUUAAGUAAUCCACCUGGAAGUACGAUCGCAAGAUUG